UUUUCUCACUCAGUGCCUCUGU
RNAcentral lists this non-coding RNA (22 nucleotides) under Rattus norvegicus (Norway rat). Lineage: Eukaryota; Metazoa; Chordata; Mammalia; Rodentia; Muridae. The record is from RNAcentral.